UAAAGGCUUGGUCCUGGCCUUUCUAUUAGCCCUUAGUAGGAUUACACAUGCAAGUAUCCGCAUUCCAGUGAAAAUGCCCUUGAAAUCAACCAUGAUCAUAAAGGAGCGGGUAUCAAGCACACCACACAGUAGCUCAUGACACCUAGCCUAGCCACACCCCCACGGGAUACAGCAGUGAUAAAAAUUAAGCAAUGAACGAAAGUUUGACUAAGCCAUACUACCCCAGGGUUGGUAAAUCUCGUGCCAGCCACCGCGGUCAUACGAUUAACCCAAGUUAAUAGAUAUACGGCGUAAAACGUGUUAAAGAAUAAACUCCAAAUAAAGUUAAAAUUAGGCUGUGCUGUAAAAAGCUCCAGACAAAAUGAAAAUACACAACGAAAGUGACUUUAAAAUAUCUGACAACACGAUAGCUAAGACACAAACUGGGAUUAGAUACCCCACUAUGCUUAGCCCUAAACCUAGAUAGCCACACAACAACGCUAUUCGCCAGAGUACUACUAGCAACAGCUUAAAACUCAAAGGACUUGGCGGUGCUUCACACCCUUCUAGAGGAGCCUGUUCUGUAAUCGAUAAACCCCGAUAAACCUCACCAACCCUUGCUAAUACAGCCUAUAUACCGCCAUCUUCAGCAAACCCUAAAAAGGAACCAUAGUAAGCAAAACUAUGUAACAUAAAAACGUUAGGUCAAGGUGUAGCCCAUGGGUUGGGAAGAAAUGGGCUACAUUUUCUAAUAUAGAACACUUUAACGAAUAUUCCCGUGAAACCAGGAAUGGAAGGAGGAUUUAGUAGUAAAUUAAGAAUAGAGAGCUUAAUUGAAUUAGGCCCUGAAGCACGCACACACCGCCCGUCACCCUCCUCAAGUACCAACACACAAUUAAUUAAACCUAUUAACAAAUGUGCACACAUAUGAGAGGAGAUAAGUCGUAACAAGGUAAGCGUACUGGAAAGUGCGCUUGGACAAAUCAAAGU
This 969-nucleotide non-coding RNA is filed under the name Nyctimene robinsoni (Queensland tube-nosed fruit bat). RNAcentral describes it as "mt SSU rrNA". It matches the Rfam family "Bacterial small subunit ribosomal RNA". The record is from RNAcentral. Lineage: Eukaryota; Metazoa; Chordata; Mammalia; Chiroptera; Pteropodidae.